AGGGGCCGCAGGGGAUGGUGUUCGUCCUCGUCCGGAAUGGGCGCGGAGCAGCCGGAUGAUGAAAAGGCACCUGGCACUUGGAGGACCGAUGCAGUGGGCUGCCUGUGCGCUUGUUCUUCUGAAGGAUGGGUGGACUGAGACUCUCGGCCCCUUGAAAGCUAAAGCCGCCCUAGUUGGGCGCUCGAGGGGUGUUCCUACAUGCGAUCGAGACCUGUGUUGUGGUUCAGCUGUCGCUGUGCAUGCAGGUGACUUGUUUGACAUCGGUUUGGCAGGUGCCGAGGGAGGAGUCGUGCAGGGUGAUGGAGGACGGCGCUGUCAGCGGGUGAGUUGGUGCGUGGUGUAUCUAGAUGGAAGAUGUGGCUGCUGGCUGUACGAGCCCAUUGUGGUAAUUUUUCUUUUUGGACGCAUGCGAGGAG
This is a non-coding RNA of Phalacrocorax carbo (great cormorant), 416 nucleotides long. NCBI's taxonomy places the organism in Eukaryota, Metazoa, Chordata, Aves, Suliformes, Phalacrocoracidae. The record is from RefSeq and is a predicted model, not a curated record.